AAGACCGACUUCGAGACUGGAAACGGCAUCGCCAGGAACGAGGCUGGAAGGCAGGCUGAUGGACAGGAGUCCUCAGGAGGAUGGAGCUACACCGCUCCCGAAGGCAUCCCCAUCAAGCUGACCUUCACCUCUGGUGCCGGCGGUUACCAGCCCGUAGGCGACCAUCUUCCCGUGGGACCCACACCAGUGCCUCUUCCUUACGAACGCAACGACUACUAAAUCUCUUUUUCUAAGUCUAGUGUCUGCUUCAUAUUAACGAUCUCAGUGAUAUGAAAUGAGCCAUAUUGACGUUUUCUCCUUUUCACUAUUUAUUGAACGAAUUUCGUUCACGCCUGAUUAUCUUCAAUAAAACCUUAUCUACAAUA
This 365-nucleotide long non-coding RNA is filed under the name Penaeus japonicus. RNAcentral describes it as "uncharacterized LOC122254300". Lineage: Eukaryota; Metazoa; Arthropoda; Malacostraca; Decapoda; Penaeidae. The record is from RNAcentral.